ACAAUCUUCCUUCACAGCCAUAGCCAGCAAACAUGAAGAAUCUCCAUUUCCUGAUUUCCCUCUUCUUUCUCUUCUCUUACUUCCUUUCUCUUGUGUUUUCCUUUUCUCCUACUCAGACUCAUCUCCCAAAACAAUAUUGCCUUGAUGACCAGAGAUUCUCUCUGUUGCAAUUGCAGCAUGAUCUCUACUAUGCCCCAAAUUUUACUUUCACUUCCAAAUUUGAGUUGUGGGAUCUCAACACUGAUUGUUGCUCUUGGGAAGGUGUUACCUGUGAUGAUGCCAUUGGUCAUGUCACUGGCCUUGAUCUAAGCUACAAAAACCUUUCCGGGACCUUUCACUCCAUUUUCGAUCUCCAUCAUCUUCAGCACCUUAACCUUGCUGGAAACAAUUUCAACACCACUCUGCCUUCCUAUGGGUUUGAUAAACUCCCAAAUCUAACUCAUCUCAACCUUUCAAGCUCAUGUUUCCAUGGCCAAAUUCCAGUGGAGAUCUCAUACUUAACACGGUUAGUUUCUCUUGAUCUAUCUUAUCAAGAUGAUUGCUAUCGGAUAAAUCAGUAUUAUGAUGAUGAUUUAGCUACUCUAAAACUAGAGAAACCAAGCUUCAAGACAUUGAUCAAGAAUUUGAAGUUUCUCAGAGAGCUUCAUUUGGAUGGUGUAGACAUUUCAUCUCAAAAUAGUAAAUGGUGUGAAGCCACAUCUCUAGUACUUUCCAACCUACAAGUGAUGAGCUUGGCAAAUUGUGGUUUAAAAGGUCCAUUAUGCUCUUCAUUCUCAAGACUUCCUUUUCUUUCCAAACUUAUCCUUGAUGGAAACCCCAUCUCUUAUCUACCUUCCAAUUUCUUGAAAAAUUCCUCCCAUUUGAUUUCUGUCCGUUUAGUAAGUUGUGAUUUGAGUGGACAUUUUCCAACAGAAAUUCUCUUAUUGCCAAGAAUUCAAAGCAUUGACCUUUCAUAUAAUGAGCAACUUAUGGGUCAGUUUCCAGAAUUUCCAUCUAAUAGUGCUUUACAGAGUCUCUCACUUUCAGAAACAAAUUUCAGCGGAAAGUUACCCGAAUCAAUUGGUAGCCUUAAGUUUUUGACAGACUUAACUCUUGAUGGUUGCAAUUUUUUUGGAUCCAUUCCAUGUUCAAUUGCAAAUCUUAGUCACCUGGUGAAGCUGGAUCUAUCAGAUAACAAAUUCAGUGGUUUGAUCCCUCCCUUCCAUACAUUUGGAGUUCCAAAUCUUGCAUAUCUCAAUUUGGAAUCCAACAUGCUUUCUGGAUCAAUACAUUCUUCUUUAUUUACUCUUCCAUCAUUGCGGACCUUGUCUCUCAUAGAAACCCAAUUUGUUGGGAAAAUUGAUGAGUUCUCCAAUGCAUCUUCUUCAUUGAUGGAGGAAUUAUAUUUAGGAGAUAAUUAUUUAUCGGGACCAAUCCCGAAGUCGAUACUUCAACUUCGGAGGCUUGAAGAGCUUUAUAUUUAUGGCAAUAGCCUUGGUUCUAUGAAACUUAACAUGUUCUUCGAGAUAAAUAACUUAAGGUUUCUUAGCCUAUACGACAUAGGCUUGUUAACUGAAAGUGACAACAAAAACCUUACUUUUCCCCAGCUGGACACAUUGCAUCUAAGCUCAUGCAACCUUACUGAAUUUCCAGAAUUCAUCAAAACACAAGACAAGUUGGUUGAGCUAGAUCUUUCUAACAACCAUAUCCAUGGUGUUGUGCCUAACUGGUUGUGGAAGGGCUCUCUUUCAUGGGUAGACCUUUCUUUCAAUCCAAUUGAUUUCCCAAAACAGGUUCCCAUAGGUGAUGCAAGCUUCUCUUUUCCAAAGCUGACAAAUUUAUAUAUGAGCUCCUGUAACAUAAGUGCAUUUUCAGAGUUCUUAAGGAGUCAAGAAAAUUUAGUUGAACUCGACCUUUCAAAUAACACAAUAAGUGGUGCAAUACCAAACUGGGUGUGGAAGAAAAGUUUGCGUGAUCUGAGACUUGCUAAUAACCAUCUCUCAUCUUUGGACCAACUUUUACCCAACCACAGUUUAACUUCUUUGCAAGGCUCCUUACCUUCACCUAUUUGCAAUAUGAGUAGACUUUUCCUUUUUGAUGCAUCUUAUAACAAUUUGAGCGGCCUCAUUCCAAGCUGCUUAGGCAGUUUGAGUGCUCUCACUUUGUUGAAUUUGCAAGGAAAUAACUUUGUUGGAAUAUUACCAGAAUUUUCAAAAGCAAACCAACUACAACUUCUCAUAGUAAGUGAGAAUAGAUUAGAAGGGAAGUUGCCAAGAUCAUUAUCGGAAUGCACUCAGCUUCAAGUUUUAGAUGUCGGAAACAACACUAUGCAUGAUACAUUCCCCUUUUGGUUGGAGAAAUUGCCUGCAUUGAUGCUUCUAAUAUUGCGAUAUAAUAAAUUUUAUGGUCAAAUUAAACCUUUCAAAAGUAAAAUUGUUUUCCCAUCUUUGGAUGUGUUGGACAUUGCCUCUAACGAAUUUUCUGGCGAACUAUCCAUUAAUUUCUUUCAAGCCACUCAACUAAGGUCACUCAAAAUAGGUGGGAAUAAAUUGGGAGGGAAUCUGCCAAGAUCGUUAGCCAAUUGUACAAAACUUGAAGUUUUGGACCUUGGAAACAAUAUGCUUCAUGAUACAUUCCCGUUUUGGUUGGAGAAGUUGCCUUCCUUGAAGGUUCUCAUUCUGCGAGCAAACAGAUUUUAUGGUACAACUAAAGUGUUUGACACCGAACGUGGUUUUCCAAUGCUACGCAUAUUGGACAUUGCUUCCAACAACUUUUCAGGUUACUUGUCCAUUGAAUUUUUGAGAAGUUUGAAGGCAAUAACAAUGCUGACUGAUGGUGACAAAGUAAAGCUGGAUUACAUUGGAGACGAGAACUAUCAAGACUCUGUGACAAUUGUCAACAAAGGGGUUGAAAUGUUUUAUCAGAAAGUCUUAACCAUUCUCACUUGUCUUGACCUUUCCAAUAACAGCUUCCAUGGGAGAAUACCAGAAGAAAUACAAAUUCUCAAGUCACUCAAAGUGCUAAACUUAUCCAGCAAUGACUUCUCCGGAGGAAUACCAUCAGCACUUGACAACCUAAAAGACCUCGAGUCUUUGGAUCUCUCACAGAACAAGCUCUCGGGGAAGAUUCCUCCACAGCUUGCAAGUCUAACUUUCUUGGAAGUAUUGAACUUAUCUUACAACCAACUUGAAGGGAGCAUACCACAAGGAAACCAAUUCAAUACAUUUGCAAAUGAUUCUUACCGGGGGAACCCAAAAUUAUGCGGAACACCAUUUUCAAGGAAUUGCAAUGAAGUUGGUCUUCCAAUGCCACCUCCUCCAGGGGAAGAUGAAGAAGAAUCAUGGUUAGAUGUUAUGUCUACUUGGCAAAUUGCUUUGGUAGGCUAUGGAAGUGGUUUGGUGGUUGGGAUAUGUAUUGGAUAUACAGUGCUGAAUGAGCUGGGAAACAAAUGGGUUUACAAGUUGACAAGGCGUGGGAAAAGAAAUAGAAGAACUAGGUGACUCCAUCAGAAUUCAUGAUUUAAAAUCAGUUGGUUAGCAUUUCCUUUUGAAACUAGACAGGUAUUUUCAGCCCCUUUUCCCUUAUUCCCAUGAACUGGUGUGUAGUUGAAAAGCCAAUUUACUUUUGUUUCUAAUGAUUUAUGUUGCAAAUUAUGCCAGCCCGCAUUGCAUUGUGUUGUCGGAUUCACGUUGUCCGGGAAAUUGCAAAAUGGUGUAACAACAACUAAUCUGCUUCCUACUCUAACUCAGAUGUUGAGAAAGCUUGGAGUUGAGUUUCAUGACGAGGUCUAUGAUCAUAAAUCUCGAACACGGAGAGGGUUUGGCAGAAUUUAUCUGUAGAUCAUAUAUUGCUACAAUACCUUAAGAUAACUGGUAAACGUGAUGAGCAGUAAGUGUUCUCUUUCCUUCUCGUUUGGCAUGUUUGAGAAGUUAUAUCAUCUGUAGUUUGACUUAUGUUUUGUAAUGCGAACAACAAGAUCGUUUCCGUUAUCUUCUCGAUUUCGUUGCAGGGGCCAAAAUAUCUAGUGUCUUGGCUGCCAAACUCAAGAAUCAAGAUCAUAAUGGUUAUAUAUAUACAGGCGAUUGGGAGAUAAUUAAUGUCAUUUGAAGACAUAUGAUGAUGGCUAUGCUACGCUUCAAUUCACAAACCAUUUGGGGGUAAUCUUUCUCUGCUACUGCAAUUUCAUUACAAUAAUGCUGUUAUAAAACAGAUCAUGGAGCCAUAAGGUGACAAUCUCAGUGACAACAUUGAAGGAGCAGAACUGGAUUCUUCACGGAUUGCUGGCUUAAAACCGACUUCUUAAUUUCUCUCUACGAUCGUUUUCACAGAGAUGUCCGUUGGUAUAACACUGAGUCGGGGACCCUAAAAGUCCGUUCUUGGCUGGCCAAGCAUGGGUUGGAGGAUAAUUGAAAAUGGAAGCCCUGUGCUCGCUGUAACACAAGAUGGUAAAACAUGAUGGCCAUCAGAUGUUCCGGAAAUCCAGGGGAAUGCCUGAGAGGGAGACUGUAGAUGAUCCAGUUGAGCUUAGACGGGAAAGCGAGACUAUACAUGACGAGCUUGCUAUUCAGCACAUGGGAUCGACAAUUCUAUCCGGAACUUGAGAAGAAAGGUUACCACAUGCUGCGGGUUGAUGUCGACACCAAGAAAGGUGGUCUUAAAAUAAACCCGGAUUUUUUGUCGUUUUCGGAGCUGAACCUGAAGGCCCUCGCCUGGUUCAUGAGAUAAGAUAUACAGGUGGUGACUGCACUUCAGAUAUUUGGAUUUAAGCAACUCAAAACCAGUUUGGCUAUGAAGAAAUCAUCCUUUGUAAUUUGUUGGAAAAAAAUGACAAAUAACAAUCAAUGGAACCAUAUGGUCUACAAGCAA
RNA transcript from Hibiscus syriacus, 4845 nucleotides. It is a transcript of the gene named receptor-like protein 7, with no coding region annotated. NCBI's taxonomy places the organism in Eukaryota, Viridiplantae, Streptophyta, Magnoliopsida, Malvales, Malvaceae. The transcript is spliced from 5 exons. The record is from RefSeq and is a predicted model, not a curated record.